This 2240-nucleotide long non-coding RNA is filed under the name Carica papaya (papaya). Its description in RNAcentral is "long non-coding RNA (CPAP_LNC015584)". Lineage: Eukaryota; Viridiplantae; Streptophyta; Magnoliopsida; Brassicales; Caricaceae. The record is from RNAcentral.
GAGAGCGGGAAGGAGAAAAGAAGAGAGAAAAGAAGGUUCGAGAAAGAGAGAGAGGCGAGUCGGAGCAGAGAGGAGGGAAAAGGGAGAGAGAGCUUGAUAUAUAUAUAUAUCAUGUUUUUUAAUAAAUAAUAAAUUUAUUGAGACUUCACUCAACUUAAUAAUUAUAAUUACAGGGGUCAAAAAAAAUAAAGGAGAGAGAGCUUGACAAUUAUUAGAGAAAAAUUAAGAAGGAGAUAGCUGGACAAGUCUCAACUUGCUUUGCUGAGAUGAAAAGUUUGUAAUUUUAUAAAACUUUGCAAUCAAUUAAGACUUUAUAAGUGUUUCCAAGAAAUGAACUACAGCUCUUUGUUAUUUUUUGACACCACCAAUAUACUUGUGAGCUAAUAAUUAGUUUUAUUAUAUUAUUAGGUAAAUAUUUUAUUAUUGAUUUAACUAAAUUAAAAAAAUUAUAUAUUGUAGUAACUGGAAAAAAAAAAAGGGAAAAAGUGGGGGGAAACGACGUCGUUUUGAGGAAGCAGGUGAGAUAAAUAGGGGACGGGAAAGAAAAAAAGAGGGAAGAGAAGAAAAAAAAAAGGGAAAAAAAAUAGAAAAACAGAGAAGGAAGAGAGCAGGAAGGAGAAAAGAAGGUUCGAGAAAGAGAGAGGGUAGUCGGAGCAGAGAGGAGGGAGAAGGGAGAGAGAGCUUGACAUAUAUAUAUCAUGUUUUUUAAUAAAUAAUAAAUUUAUUGAGACGUUACUCAACUUAAUAAUUAUAAUUACAGGGAUAAAAAAAAAUAAAGGAGAGAGAGCUUGACAAUUAUUAGAGAAAAAUUAAGAAGGAGAUAGCUAGACAAGUCUCAACUUGCUUUGCUGAGAUGAAAGGUUUGUAAUUUUAUAAAACUUUGCAAUCAAUUAAGACUUUACAAGUGUUUCCAAGAAAUGAACUAUAGCUCUUUGUUGUUUCUUGACACCACCAGUAUACUUGUGAGCUAAUAAUUAGUUUUAUUAUAUUAUUAGGUAAAUAUUUUAUUAUUGGUUUAACUAAAUUAAAAAAAUUAUAUAUUGUAGUAACUGGGAAAAAAAAGGGGGGAAAGUGGGGGGAAACAACGUCGUUUUGAAAGGGGGUAAACAACUUGUUUUGAGGAAGUAGGUGAGAUAAAUAGGGGACGAGAAAGAAAAAAAGAGGGAAGAGAAGAAAAAAAAGGGAAAGAAAAUAGAAAAACAGAGAAGGAGGAGAGCAGGAAGGAGAAAAUAAGGUUCGAGAAAGAGAGAGGGGAGUCGGAGCGGAGAGGAGCAAGAAGGGAGAGAGAGCUUGACAUAUAUAUAUCAUGUUUUUUAAUAAAUAAUAAAUUUAUUGAGACGUCACUCAACUUAAUAAUUAUAAUUACAGGGAUAAAAAAAAUAAAGGAGAGAGAGCUUGACAAUUAUUAGAGAAAAAUUAAGAAGGAGAUAGCUAGACAAGUCUCAACUUGCUUUGCUGAGAUGAAAGGUUUGUAAUUUUAUAAAACUUUGCAAUCAAUUAAGACUUUACAAGUGUUUCCAAUAAAUAAACUACAGCUCUUUGUUAUUUCUUGACACCACCAAUAUACUUGUGAGCUAAUAAUAAGUUUUAUUAUAUUAUUAGGUAAAUAUUUUAUUAUUGGUUUAACUAAAUUAAAAAAAUUAUAUAUUGUAGUAACUGGAAAAAAAAGGGGGGGGGGAAUGGGAAAUGAUGUCGUUUUGAAAGGGGAAAAACGACGUCAUUUUGAGGAAACAGGUGAGAUAAAUAGGAGAUGGGAAAAAAAAAGAAAGAGGGAAGAGAAGAAAAAAAAAGGAAAGAAAAGAGAAAAACAGAGAAGGAAGAGAGCGAAAAGGAGAAAAGAAGGUUCGAGAAAGAGAGAGAGGGGAGUCGGAGCGGAGAGGAGCGAGAAGGGAGAGAAAAGAAGGAAGUGGACGGUGACAGUGCGAUCGGCGGGAGGAAAGAAGAUGAAAAUGAGAGGUACGGUAAAAAUUUUGAUUGUGUAGAUGCUGUGUGAUUUUGAAAUUUUGGUUGUAGGUUGAGGAAUCCAGGUAGUUAGUAUGUAGUGUGGUGGAACUGAGAAGUGGAGGUAGGUGGUGUAGAGUAUGGGUUGAACGGCGGAGACAUUCACGGAGGAGGCCGUGGGAAGGGAGAGGAUGGCUACGUUGGGGUGUACGAAAGAUCCGUGGGAGAGAGUGGAGGUUGUGUGAGGCGAGUGUGAUCACAUAGUGAAGGUCACUGGGAGAGAGAGUGAGUGAGGAAGU